GAUAAACAAAAAUAAUUCUGCAGAAAUAGCUAAGGAUUUUAACUAUAUUUUCAUUGAUAAUUCUUCUUAUCAAGGUACAAUAAUUGGUUUAAAAUAUAAGGUUUUCAGAAAUUGUUCCAAAGUAUAACUAGGAAAAAUUCUAAAAAAUAUAGAUGCUUCAACAGAGAGGAAGAACACAUUGGGGAUCCAAAAAAGAAGAAAAAAAAUCAUCUCUGGGUAAGACAAAGUCUUUAUAUUCUAAAUUUUAAUGAUAAAAAUAUUUUUCUAAAUAGAAAGAUCUUUAUGUCAUUAUCUAACCAGAUGAUCUAAAAAAUUAGAACAAUUAAAAAAGAGAUUUAUAUAUACUGGACUGAGUAUAAAAAUUUUAACUGAUUAAUUCAAGGAUAUUUCAGGCUAUUUUCCUAAUUUGACUAUACUGAUGUGAGCUAAGAUUUUGUCCAUAUUUUGACAUGAUAAAAACCUAUUAAAAUGUUAAGUGUAUUUAUUUUUAAAAAGGUCUUUAUUGCCUAAUGAUUCUUGCUGUUUAAAACCAAGGUGAAUUUUGGUAAAUAAAUUCACAUCGUUGAUUAAACACUAAGUAUAUUAAACUACCAACUUGGAUCCCAAUGUUGACAAUUGUCCUUAGAGACUAAAUUUGAUUGAUUCAAAAUCACUGUUGAUUCUUACAUUUUGUUUGUUAGAUAAUUAUAAAAUUUGAGAAAACAUUUUAUUAGGAUUGAGGUUCUCCAAAUUAAAGUCGUAUGUUAAUUUUGAGCAAUAAAGGUUACAAACUUUAAAAAUUCAUUGAUAUUAUAUAAGUUAUCUGGCUGGACCUAUUGUCUAUUAAAAUAUGGUAAGAUUUAUAUACUGCUCCCUACACUGGGAAAUAACUUCAAUCAUAUUUUUUUAAAGGCAAUUGAAAGAUAUCUCUUUAAAGGAUAAUAUUCUAAAAUAUAGAGAUAUUUUGAGACCUUCUCAAAAAGAGAUUGAGAGUUCUUUCUAAAUUGUUAGAAUGGAUCAACUAGUCUAUAUUGAAAAAGUACAAAAAUCAAUUAUUAUCAUUUAAAUACUUGUACUAUAAUAUAUAACUCAAACUGAUGAUACUAUGGCUUACACCAAGCCUUUACUCAAUUUUAUUAAAUAAAGAAAAGGGGAAUACAGGACCCCAGAGACACACACUAGAUUUUACAAAAUAUUUUAAAAUUUUUUUUCUUAAGUUGUAAUAUUGAGAGUCUUAAUGUUACUAAACACAAUUCAGUAAAUUAAAUCAGCUAUCAAAGGAGAGUUUAAACCAGUCAUCAUGAUAAGGACUGAGAAACCUGGCCCAGGAAAGUAAAUUUCCAGCUACAGAGUUUACAACCAUUUGUAAACUUGUCAAGUAAGUAAAAAUUAUGAAAAGACUUGUAUGGACCCAUUUCCCAGGUCCACCUUUAAUGUACAUUUCAGUGUAGACUAGAGGGUCCACUCAUAUAACUAGAUUAAUUGUACUGACUGUAAUGGUCAAUUAUAUAUUGAUUCUAUGGUAAACAGACUGAGAGUAUCUCUUGAGAGAAAGACAGUGUUGGAAUAAUGGAUUGUUCCGCAUCCAUAUGGAUGGCAGCUAUGGACCAGAUGUGAGUAACACCAACUAAGGGCCAGUUCUGUGAGGGAUCGUGCUCUGAGUCUUAGUACUGCUCUCUUCAUCUAUCUAUGUCUCUCGGCUUUGUCACUAUAUUACUGUUUGUCUGUCGAUGGCCUGUCUCCUUCCUUCCUGAACGCAGCCUCGCCAGUCCAGUGCUGUGAGCUGGGCCCUCCAUGGAGAAGGAACCUGAGUUUGCUGAUCCUAAGGGAAAUGCUGUUGUGGAGGCCACGGGGGCAUUAUCUAUCAAGGAGACAGAGAGCCCUCUCGGGGACAAUGCCUUGCACACUCCACAUCACCCUGUUUGGCCCCGGAGGAUGGCUGGUUAGUCAAAUAUGGGUAAGAUUCCUCAAGGGAGGGACAACCUAAGACAGGCCCAGCCGCAGAGGGGCCAUCAGAGGCACAGAACUUCACCCCCACCAACCUUGGAAAAGGCCUAAUUCUUCACCCCUUCUGAGAGGUCUCCUGCCCCAUGGCUGCUUUGCUCCCCAUGUCCACCUCAGAUCAGAACCCAAGUGACAGACAGAGACCUAGUCAACAGCGACUGCCUGCUCCCCACAGCAGGAGACAACUGCAGCUACAGGGAUGGGCCGUGUCUGGGUGCUUUUCUCUUUCUUGGUUCUUCUCAUUUUUUAAUGCUUUUCCCUUUUCCUUUCUUCUCUCAUCAGGGUUCUCCUUCAGCAACAAAUUUAAUAAAAGGGGAGGAGGUGUUGGAAAAACUUCCAGUUACAACUAGCAGCUACGAGCAGCUUGCAGUGCUUGAGGAAUCCGCAUUCCUUCAGGCCUGACAGGAACACCUGCAGGAUGGGGUGCUCUGCUCUAGGAGCCGUCCAUGAAACCACAUCCUCCGCACUGUGGUUAGCAUUGCCAAACUACCAGGCCAGGAAACCGAGUCAGGGGCUGCAGGGCAUGAAAUCCCUGACUCAAUAAGCCCUUCUCUUAGGGCCAAAGACCCUUUCAGAUUGCUUUCCACCACGACAGCAAUAUUUAGAGUUUCCUCACAGUGUGGUUACAUUAGGCAGAAGAUGAUUGGCUUAUGGAUAUUGUCUUGCUUAUGUAUGAUUGACAGGCACGUCCCACUCAAACCCUAUAACAGUUGUGUGCAUUCCAAAAAGAAACUGAGCUACUGGAGUCGAGUUGAGGUUUGUCACCAGUCAGUUCUCACCAGCUCCCGGAGUCUGUGUGUUGAGUCCGAAUGUCUCUUACCCCCCCACACCCCUGCGACUAAGUUAGCCAAGCAACUAAUUCACCACACCAGUGACAGGAACAUAUGCAAGACAGCAUAUGAGAAACCUAAACCAGCCAAUUAUGCUGGUCUUUAAUGAUACAGUAUAUAUGAACAAUUGUCAGAAAGAUUAUUAAAAUAGAUUUUCCAAGAGUAUUUACAUUACUGACAGACCUAAUAGACUCCUUAAAUGUGAGAAUUAAGAAAAAAGAUGAUAAAUAUCUUGUAACCUGUAAAAAUACAACUUAUUGUAUCAUUAGUUUAUUGCCAGCUAAUAUUUCAGAGCUAUGAUAUGCUGAGGUUAAUAUUCAGGCUUUAAAACAGGUGUAUGUCAAUUAACCAGACCUAAGCAAACUGCUGGUCUCAUAAUCCCUAAAGUGACUACUUUAAAUAUUAUUCCUUGCUUAUUCAAUUGUAGCCUUUGUGGCUAUACCUUAAAAUUUACAAUGUAUGGAUUUUCUUAAUGUUUGACUUAAAUUACUUCCAAAAUCCUUCAUGGUCAGAUAAGCUGAUGGAAGGAUGAGAACUAAGUUAUAAUGCUCUAGAAGACAAUGUAAUAAAUAAUGUGAAUGAGCCCUCUGCUAAUGAAAAUGUCUAUGUUACUAUGGCCAAAUGCAAUGCCUCCCAAUAAAAUUGGAAAAAG
This 3465-nucleotide long non-coding RNA is filed under the name Marmota monax (woodchuck). Lineage: Eukaryota; Metazoa; Chordata; Mammalia; Rodentia; Sciuridae. The record is from RNAcentral.